UGCAAGUCGUACGCUUCUUUUUCCACCGGAGCUUGCUCCACCGGAAAAAGAAGAGUGGCGAACGGGUGAGUAACACGUGGGUAACCUGCCCAUCAGAAGGGGAUAACACUUGGAAACAGGUGCUAAUACCGUAUAACAAUCGAAACCGCAUGGUUUUGAUUUGAAAGGCGCUUUCGGGUGUCGCUGAUGGAUGGACCCGCGGUGCAUUAGCUAGUUGGUGAGGUAACGGCUCACCAAGGCCACGAUGCAUAGCCGACCUGAGAGGGUGAUCGGCCACAUUGGGACUGAGACACGGCCCAAACUCCUACGGGAGGCAGCAGUAGGGAAUCUUCGGCAAUGGACGAAAGUCUGACCGAGCAACGCCGCGUGAGUGAAGAAGGUUUUCGGAUCGUAAAACUCUGUUGUUAGAGAAGAACAAGGAUGAGAGUAACUGUUCAUCCCUUGACGGUAUCUAACCAGAAAGCCACGGCUAACUACGUGCCAGCAGCCGCGGUAAUACGUAGGUGGCAAGCGUUGUCCGGAUUUAUUGGGCGUAAAGCGAGCGCAGGCGGUUUCUUAAGUCUGAUGUGAAAGCCCCCGGCUCAACCGGGGAGGGUCAUUGGAAACUGGGAGACUUGAGUGCAGAAGAGGAGAGUGGAAUUCCAUGUGUAGCGGUGAAAUGCGUAGAUAUAUGGAGGAACACCAGUGGCGAAGGCGGCUCUCUGGUCUGUAACUGACGCUGAGGCUCGAAAGCGUGGGGAGCAAACAGGAUUAGAUACCCUGGUAGUCCACGCCGUAAACGAUGAGUGCUAAGUGUUGGAGGGUUUCCGCCCUUCAGUGCUGCAGCUAACGCAUUAAGCACUCCGCCUGGGGAGUACGACCGCAAGGUUGAAACUCAAAGGAAUUGACGGGGGCCCGCACAAGCGGUGGAGCAUGUGGUUUAAUUCGAAGCAACGCGAAGAACCUUACCAGGUCUUGACAUCCUUUGACCACUCUAGAGAUAGAGCUUCCCCUUCGGGGGCAAAGUGACAGGUGGUGCAUGGUUGUCGUCAGCUCGUGUCGUGAGAUGUUGGGUUAAGUCCCGCAACGAGCGCAACCCUUAUUGUUAGUUGCCAUCAUUUAGUUGGGCACUCUAGCAAGACUGCCGGUGACAAACCGGAGGAAGGUGGGGAUGACGUCAAAUCAUCAUGCCCCUUAUGACCUGGGCUACACACGUGCUACAAUGGGAAGUACAACGAGUCGCGAAGUCGCGAGGCUAAGCUAAUCUCUUAAAGCUUCUCUCAGUUCGGAUUGUAGGCUGCAACUCGCCUACAUGAAGCCGGAAUCGCUAGUAAUCGCGGAUCAGCACGCCGCGGUGAAUACGUUCCCGGGCCUUGUACACACCGCCCGUCACACCACGAGAGUUUGUAACACCCGAAGUCGGUGAGGUAACCUUUUGGAGCCA
Molecule: ribosomal RNA, 1423 nt
Filed under: Enterococcus durans
Lineage: Bacteria; Bacillati; Bacillota; Bacilli; Lactobacillales; Enterococcaceae
Description: bacterial SSU rRNA
Rfam family: Bacterial small subunit ribosomal RNA
Source: RNAcentral